This 233-nucleotide ribosomal RNA is filed under the name Nostoc linckia z6. RNAcentral's name for it is "partial 16S ribosomal RNA". It matches the Rfam family "Bacterial small subunit ribosomal RNA", at positions 1 to 263 of the family's 1533-position model. The record is from RNAcentral. Lineage: Bacteria; Bacillati; Cyanobacteriota; Cyanophyceae; Nostocales; Nostocaceae.
AAAACGGAGAGUUUGAUCCUGGCUCAGGAUGAACGCUGGCGGUAUGCUUAACACAUGCAAGUCGAACGGUGUCUUCGGACAUAGUGGCGGACGGGUGAGUAACGCGUGAGAAUCUAGCUUCAGGUCUGGGACAACCACUGGAAACGGUGGCUAAUACCGGAUGUGCCGGAAGGUGAAAGGCUUGCUGCCUGAAGAUGAGCUCGCGUCCGAUUAGCUAGUAGGUGGGGUAAGAG